This 506-nucleotide ribosomal RNA is filed under the name uncultured bacterium. RNAcentral describes it as "partial 16S ribosomal RNA". It matches the Rfam family "Bacterial small subunit ribosomal RNA", at positions 29 to 523 of the family's 1533-position model. The record is from RNAcentral.
AGUGAACGCUGGCGGUAGGCCUAACACAUGCAAGUCGAACGGCAGCACAGGAGAGCUUGCUCUCUGGGUGGCGAGUGGCGGACGGGUGAGGAAUACAUCGGAAUCUACUUUUUCGUGGGGGAUAACGUAGGGAAACUUACGCUAAUACCGCAUACGACCUACGGGUGAAAGCAGGGGAUCUUCGGACCUUGCGCGAUUGAAUGAGCCGAUGUCGGAUUAGCGAGUUGGCGGGGUAAAGGCCCACCAAGGCGACGAUCCGUAGCUGGUCUGAGAGGAUGAUCAGCCACACUGGAACUGAGACACGGUCCAGACUCCUACGGGAGGCAGCAGUGGGGAAUAUUGGACAAUGGGCGCAAGCCUGAUCCAGCCAUACCGCGUGGGUGAAGAAGGCCUUCGGGUUGUAAAGCCCUUUUGUUGGGAAAGAAAUCCAGCUGGUUAAUACCCGGUAGGGAUGACGGUACCCAAAGAAUAAGCACCGGCUAACUUCGUGCCAGCCGCCGCAGUAA